AGGAGAGUUUGAUCCUGGCUCAGGAUGAACGCUAGCGGCAGGCUUAACACAUGCAAGUCGAGGGGCAGCGCGGUUGUAGCAAUACGACUGGCGGCGACCGGCGAAAGGGUGCGUAACGCGUGAGCGACAUGCCCGUCACCGGGGUAUAACCGAUGGAAACGUCGACUAAUCCCCCAUAACAUCAGAGGAGGCAUCUCCUUUGGUUGAAAUUCACGGAGGUGACGGAUUGGCUCGCGUCUGAUUAGCUAGUCGGCGGGGUAACGGCCCACCGAGGCGACGAUCAGUAGGGGUUCUGAGAGGAAGGUCCCCCACAAUGGAACUGAGACACGGUCCAUACUCCUACGGGAGGCAGCAGUGAGGAAUAUUGGUCAAUGGGCGGAAGCCUGAACCAGCCAUGCCGCGUGCAGGACGACGGCCCUAUGGGUUGUAAACUGCUUUUGCUGCGGAGCAAUAAGGGCCUCGUGCAGGUCCGAUGAGAGUACGCAGCGAAUAAGCAUCGGCUAACUCCGUGCCAGCAGCCGCGGUAAUACGGAGGAUGCGAGCGUUAUCCGGAUUUAUUGGGUUUAAAGGGUGCGUAGGCUGUGUGUUAAGUCAGGGGUGAAAUGCCGUCGCUCAACGACGGAGCUGCCCUUGAUACUGGCGUGCUGGAGUACGGAUGCCGUUGGAGGAAUGAGUGGUGUAGCGGUGAAAUGCUUAGAUAUCACUCAGAACACCGAUUGCGAAGGCAUCUGACGAAUCCGUCACUGACGCUGAGGCACGAAAGCGUGGGGAUAGAACAGGAUUAGAUACCCUGGUAGUCCCCU
RNAcentral lists this ribosomal RNA (803 nucleotides) under uncultured Bacteroidota bacterium. Its description in RNAcentral is "bacterial SSU rRNA". It matches the Rfam family "Bacterial small subunit ribosomal RNA", at positions 1 to 799 of the family's 1533-position model. The record is from RNAcentral. Lineage: Bacteria; Pseudomonadati; Bacteroidota.